UGGGGAAUAUUGCACAAUGGGCGCAAGCCUGAUGCAGCCAUGCCGCGUGUAUGAAGAAGGCCUUCGGGUUGUAAAGUACUUUCAGCGGGGAGGAAGGGAGUAAAGUUAAUACCUUUGCUCUUUAACGUUACCCGCAGAAGAAGCACCGGCUAACUCCGUGCCAGCAGCCGCGGUAAUACGGAGGGUGCAAGCGUUAAUCGGAAUUACUGGGCGUAAAGCGCACGCAGGCGGUUUGUUAAGUCAGAUGUGAAAGCCCCGGGCUCAACCUGGGAACUGCAUCUGAGACUGGCAAGCUUUAGUCUCGUAGAGGGGGGUAGAAUUCCAGGUGUAGCGGUGAAAUGCGUAGAGAUCUGGAGGAAUACGGGUGGCGAAGGCGGCCCCCUGGACGAAGACUGACGCUCAGGUGCGAAAGCGUGGGGAGCAAACAGG
This 429-nucleotide ribosomal RNA is filed under the name Chloroflexota bacterium. RNAcentral describes it as "Chloroflexi bacterium partial 16S ribosomal RNA". It matches the Rfam family "Bacterial small subunit ribosomal RNA", at positions 355 to 776 of the family's 1533-position model. Lineage: Bacteria; Bacillati; Chloroflexota. The record is from RNAcentral.